CGUAGGGGGCUAGCGUUGUCCGGAUUUAUUGGGCGUAAAGAGCGUGUAGGCGGCCAGGUAGGUCCGGUGUGAAAACUCGAGGCUUAACCUCGAGAUGUCAUCGGAAACCAUCUGGCUAGAGUCCGGAAGAGGAGAGUGGAAUUCCUGGUGUAGCGGUGAAAUGCGCAGAUAUCAGGAAGAACACCAAUGGCGAAAGCAGCUCUCUGGGACGGUACUGACGCUGAGACGCUAAAGCGUGGGGAGCGAACAGGAUUAGAUACCCUGGUAGUCCACGCCGUAAACGAUGGGCGCUAGGUGUGGGCGGUGUCGACUCCGUCCGUGCCGAAGCUAACGCAUUAAGCGCCCCGCCUGGGGAGUACGGCCGCAAGGCUA
Molecule: ribosomal RNA, 372 nt
Filed under: uncultured organism
Description: bacterial SSU rRNA
Rfam family: Bacterial small subunit ribosomal RNA
Source: RNAcentral